Molecule: long non-coding RNA, 1430 nt
Organism: Mytilus californianus (California mussel)
Lineage: Eukaryota; Metazoa; Mollusca; Bivalvia; Mytilida; Mytilidae
Exons: 4
Source: RefSeq, a predicted model, not a curated record
AAUAGAAUAACCAUACAAUCUGAAUUUCCAUUUGUUUUAGACCACGUAGUUUAGACAUAGGUCGCAAUUAUAUAAGGAUGCACAUUUGUUUUUGUGCUUAUAAAGGAUCAUAAAGGUCCGUUUCAACUUAAAUAAAAAAAGAUUUACACAUACAUACAUUUUGAACAGCAAUAAUAACUGUGGAAUGGUUUACACAUACAUUCACUUUGUAGAGCAUUAAGAACUGUGGAUAGGUGUGUUCGCAUACAGCUACAGAGAUGCAGUCCCAGUUUAGCACAAACCUUCGCAAAUGUGGAGAAACAACUUCUUACUACAGACUGCUUUUACGCAAACUCUAAAUGGAUUGAGAAUUCGCACAUUACUUCGGUUAUGAUGUAUUGUGGUAUGCACAUAGGCGGUGAACUCUAUCUACGCAAUAUUGGUAAAAACACAACAAUUGGCGGAAAACAAGCUACUUUGAAUGUUAUUAAAGAUUUUAUUCCAUACUUAUGUGCCAAUAUGAACGAUUUUGUCACCUGUAUCGCUCGGGAAGUUGGUCAGUCCAAAAAUAUAAUAGACAGAAUUUCCCUGAACUUUCUUGACCUCACCAAUGCUUAUCGUCUACAAGUAAUUUUUGUAGCAAUGUGUGAUCGGACACGAGACAUUCAGGAUAAUGUGGAAUGCUUCAGUAAGGGAGAAUUCAGUAGUUGUACAAUUCUACCAAAGAAGCAAAAUCGUCUUUUCAUGAAAUAUCUGGACACUUUUCAAAAAAACAAUACAUAUUUUGAUGUCGAUGAUUCUGUCACAGAACUUUGUGGAACCUUGAAGGAAGUUGGAAUGUGUGGUGCAAGAGCGUUGUCAAACUGUAGCCAAGAUCUCAGUCAGCUUGGACAGGAUAUCAUCAAUGAACUUUUCAGACUGGACUGUGGAGGCUUACGACCUUUGACAAGAUAUCUAAAUAAUGGAACUCAGAAGAUUCCAUUGAAAUUUACUUUGUUUUAAAGCAUCUUCUUACUAAUGCACUUCAUGUUAUGACGAGGUAGACAGAUUGUUAGCUUAUUCACUGAAAUAUAAAAGUGUUAAAAGAUAUGAUCUUAAAAUAUAUAUCUCGGCUGCUUUACUGAUUACUAAUAAAUCUUAAUCUUAAUUUUAUAUCGAAAGAUUUUAGUAUCUGAAGAAAUUACCGUUAUCAAUGAUUCUUGCAAAGGGGGUCAAGGUCAGAUGAACAUGUCAACCAAACAUUGAUUCCCUUCAAGAAGUUUUAGUAUGAGAAAUACUUAAAGAUGACCCAAGAAAAUGGAGCGGAGGCCAGAUGAACCCUAAUAGACGUACAAAUUGAAUUUUAAUUGUACAUAAUGCCGUCUGUAUUUUCCUAUAUAUGAUUCAUCCCCUCCUGGAUAUGUGUCAACCUGUGAUAAUAUACCAGUGGUGGUAUGCAGAUGUGAAAAUGG